GCAGCUUGUUCUGACUACUCUUCCACAAGACCCUAUGAUCCCAUCACGACCGCAUUCUGGUAACGGACUAAGUGUUCCCACCCCACCCCAAGCUGAUAUAGCUAGCCCUGUAUUCGAGAUUUAAUGGAGAGGGAUAAAAGAAAGGAUAAAGGAAGAUGAAGGCUUAUUUAAGGAACAGAACUGGACAGAGUUGGAUGUCGCUAAGAUGGUCUUGGAGUCUAUUGGAAGUACAGAAAAAGCAAGGAGGUAUGCCCCCGGUCCUCAAAGUUGGCCACCUUCUUGUCACUUUGGGCGCCGGGUUGCAGGUGUGUGCAACAGCUUCCACUUUCCGGUCAACCGGAACCUUUCCCAGAGCGGCUGCUGCUGUGUGGGUCGUGCCUCGGCGGAGUUCCUGGGGGUGGUGCUCGACCAGAGUGG
RNAcentral lists this long non-coding RNA (417 nucleotides) under Rattus norvegicus (Norway rat). RNAcentral's name for it is "long non-coding RNA NONRATT016666". Lineage: Eukaryota; Metazoa; Chordata; Mammalia; Rodentia; Muridae. The record is from RNAcentral.